This 493-nucleotide ribosomal RNA is filed under the name uncultured bacterium. RNAcentral describes it as "partial 16S ribosomal RNA". It matches the Rfam family "Bacterial small subunit ribosomal RNA", at positions 29 to 507 of the family's 1533-position model. The record is from RNAcentral.
ACGAACGCUGGCGGCGUGCUUAACACCUGCAAGUCGAACGGUGAAGCGCCUUCCUUUUUGGUGGGUGUGGAUGAGUGGCGAACGGGUGAGUAACACGUGAGUAACCUGCCCCCUUCUUCUGGAUAACCGCAUGAAAGUGUGGCUAAUACGGGAUAUUCUGGGUCUGUCGCAUGAUGGGUCUGGGAAAGAUAUUGUUUCGGUGGGGGAUGGGCUCGCGGCCUAUCAGCUUGUUGGUGGGGUGAUGGCCUACCAAGGCGGUGACGGGUAGCCGGCCUGAGAGGGUGGACGGUCACACUGGGACUGAGACACGGCGCAGACUCCGACGGGAGGCAGCAGUGGGGAAUAUUGCACAAUGGGCGCAAGCCUGAUGCAGUGACGCCGCGUGAGGGAUGGAGGCCUUCGGGUUGUGAACCCCUUUCGCCAGUGAAGCAGGCCUGCCUCGUUUGUGGGUGGGUUGACGGUAGCUGGAUAAGAAGCGCCGGCUAACUACGUG